Molecule: long non-coding RNA, 265 nt
Filed under: Lathyrus oleraceus (garden pea)
Lineage: Eukaryota; Viridiplantae; Streptophyta; Magnoliopsida; Fabales; Fabaceae
Description: Pisum sativum (pea) long non-coding RNA (PSAT_LNC037780)
Source: RNAcentral
UCAAAUUUGAAAAGUCCAAGUGAAUUAUCCCAAGUUCAACAAGGUCAAACAAAGUUUGACAAAAAGUUUCAGCAUUUUUAAAAGUCAGAAACUAUUUUUAAUCAAUUAAGAAUGCAUAAAAAUAACCAAAUUGAAUUAAAAUUUCAAAUAAAUCUCAAAUCAAUGAAUAAAUUGAUGAGAAUAUUUUUCAUAGAUUUAUCAUCAUUCAAAGAGGUUGAGAAAAUAUUUUUGUAUUUUUUGAAUAUCAAAAACUAUUUAAAAUGAA